UUGACAUGUACGCGAGUCAUUGGGCUUUACGAAACCCAAAGGCGCAGUGAAGGAAAAGGUUUGGCUUGUCCAUGCUGAGGUGAUAUCCUGUUGUUUUGCUCAUUAAUUCCAAGCUCCAAGCAGCAGGCGCAUCACCAGCCCGUUCCAUCACGUAGACAUGUGGCCUUGUGCUAUGUACAUCGUCGGGGCGGAGCAAGAGCGUACAUUUUGAGACCCGAAAGCUAGUGAACUAUGCUUGCGAAGGUUGAAGUCAGAAGAAACUCUGGUGGAGGACCAUAGCGAUUCUGACGUGCGAAUCGAUCGUAUAACGUGAGUAUAGGGGUGAAAGACUAAUCGAACUAUCUAGUAGCUGG
This 353-nucleotide non-coding RNA is filed under the name Trichobilharzia regenti. Its description in RNAcentral is "Eukaryotic large subunit ribosomal RNA". It matches the Rfam family "Eukaryotic large subunit ribosomal RNA", at positions 675 to 954 of the family's 3401-position model. The record is from Rfam by way of RNAcentral. Lineage: Eukaryota; Metazoa; Platyhelminthes; Trematoda; Strigeidida; Schistosomatidae.